GACGAACGCUGGCGGCGUGCCUAACACAUGCAAGUCGAACGGGGUCCAUGGGAGCUUGCUCCCGGAAGACCUAGUGGCGAACGGGUGAGUAACACGUGAGAAACCUGCCCUGGAGUGGGGAAUAACUCGGGGAAACUCGAGCUAAUACCGCAUACCCUCGGAUGGUCGCAUGGCCGACCGAGGAAAGAUUUAUCGCUUCAGGAGGGUCUCGCGGCCUAUCAGCUAGUUGGUGGGGUAACGGCCUACCAAGGCAACGACGGGUAGCUGGUUUGAGAGAACGAUCAGCCACACUGGGAUUGAGACACGGCCCAGACUCCUACGGGAGGCAGCAGUGGGGAAUCUUGCGCAAUGGGCGAAAGCCUGACGCAGCAACGCCGCGUGCGGGAUGACGGCCUCGU
RNAcentral lists this ribosomal RNA (398 nucleotides) under uncultured bacterium. RNAcentral describes it as "bacterial SSU rRNA". It matches the Rfam family "Bacterial small subunit ribosomal RNA", at positions 28 to 420 of the family's 1533-position model. The record is from RNAcentral.